CGUGCCCGGGGCGAAGCCUGAGCAGCAACGCCGCGCUGGGGGAUGAAGGCCUCCGGGUCGUAAACCCCUGUCGGGAGGAACGAAUGCUCCCGCCGUUAAUAACGGCGGGAAGUGACGGUACCUCCAAAGGAAGCACCGGCUAACUCCGUGCCAGCAGCCGCGGUAAUACGGAGGGUGCAAGCGUUGUUCGGAAUUACUGGGCGUAAAGGGCGUGUAGGCGGAUGAGGUAGUCGGGUGUGAAAUCCCUCGGCUUAACCGAGGAAUGGCGCUCGAAACCACUCAUCUUGAGGUCCGGAGAGGAUCGGGGAAUUCCCAGUGUAGAGGUGAGAGGGGGGAGAUAUUGGGAGGAACACCGGUGGCGAAGGCGCCGAUCUGGACGGAUUCUGACGCUGAAACGCGAAAG
This 403-nucleotide ribosomal RNA is filed under the name uncultured bacterium. RNAcentral's name for it is "bacterial SSU rRNA". It matches the Rfam family "Bacterial small subunit ribosomal RNA", at positions 364 to 759 of the family's 1533-position model. The record is from RNAcentral.